UGGGGAAUAUUGGACAAUGGGCGCAAGCCUGAUCCAGCCAUGCCGCGUGAGUGAUGAAGGCCCUAGGGUUGUAAAGCUCUUUCACCGGUGAAGAUAAUGACGGUAACCGGAGAAGAAGCCCCGGCUAACUUCGUGCCAGCAGCCGCGGUAAUACGAAGGGGGCUAGCGUUGUUCGGAUUUACUGGGCGUAAAGCGCACGUAGGCGGACUAUUAAGUCAGGGGUGAAAUCCCGGGGCUCAACCCCGGAACUGCCUUUGAUACUGGUAGUCUUGAGUUCGAGAGAGGUGAGUGGAAUUCCGAGUGUAGAGGUGAAAUUCGUAGAUAUUCGGAGGAACACCAGUGGCGAAGGCGGCUCAAUGGCUCGAUACUGACGCUGAGGUGCGAAAGCGUGGGGAGCAAACAGG
Molecule: ribosomal RNA, 404 nt
Filed under: Actinomycetes bacterium
Lineage: Bacteria; Bacillati; Actinomycetota; Actinomycetes
Description: Actinobacteria bacterium partial 16S ribosomal RNA
Rfam family: Bacterial small subunit ribosomal RNA
Source: RNAcentral